GACGAACGCUGGCGGCGUGCUUAACACAUGCAAGUCGAACGGAAAGGCCCUGCUUUUGUGGGGUGCUCGAGUGGCGAACGGGUGAGUAACACGUGAGUAACCUGCCCUUGACUUUGGGAUAACUUCAGGAAACUGGGGCUAAUACCGGAUAGGAGCUCCUGCUGCAUGGUGGGGGUUGGAAAGUUUCGGCGGUUGGGGAUGGACUCGCGGCUUAUCAGCUUGUUGGUGGGGUAGUGGCUUACCAAGGCUUUGACGGGUAGCCGGCCUGAGAGGGUGGCCGGCCACAUUGGGACUGAGAUACGGCCCAGACUCCUACGGGAGGCAGCAGUGGGGAAUAUUGCACAAUGGGCGGAAGCCUGAUGCAGCAACGCCGCGUGCGGGAUGACGGCCUUCGGGUUGUAAACCGCUUUCGCCUGUGACGAAGCGUGAGUGACGGUAAUGGGUAAAGAAGCACCGGCUAACUACGUGCCAGCAGCCGCGGUGAUACGUAGGGUGCGAGCGUUGUCCGGAUUUAUUGGGCGUAAAGGGCUCGUAGGUGGUUGAUCGCGUCGGAAGUGUAAUCUUGGGGCUUAACCCUGAGCGUGCUUUCGAUACGGGUUGACUUGAGGAAGGUAGGGGAGAAUGGAAUUCCUGGUGGAGCGGUGGAAUGCGCAGAUAUCAGGAGGAACACCAGUGGCGAAGGCGGUUCUCUGGGCCUUUCCUGACGCUGAGGAGCGAAAGCGUGGGGAGCGAACAGGCUUAGAUACCCUGGUAGUCCACGCUGUAAACGGUGGGUACUAGGUGUGGGGUCCAUUCCACGGGUUCCGUGCCGUAGCUAACGCUUUAAGUACCCCGCCUGGGGAGUACGGCCGCAAGGCUAAAACUCAAAGGAAUUGACGGGGCCCCGCACAAGCGGCGGAGCAUGCGGAUUAAUUCGAUGCAACGCGUAGAACCUUACCUGGGUUUGACAUGGAUCGGGAGUGCUCAGAGAUGGGUGUGCCUCUUUUGGGGUCGGUUCACAGGUGGUGCAUGGCUGUCGUCAGCUCGUGUCGUGAGAUGUUGGGUUAAGUCCCGCAACGAGCGCAACCCUUGUUCACUGUUGCCAGCACGUUAUGGUGGGGACUCAGUGGAGACCGCCGGGGUCAACUCGGAGGAAGGUGGGGAUGACGUCAAGUCAUCAUGCCCCUUAUGUCCAGGGCUUCACGCAUGCUACAAUGGCUGGUACAGAGAGUGGCGAGCCUGUGAGGGUGAGCGAAUCUCGGAAAGCCGGUCUCAGUUCGGAUUGGGGUCUGCAACUCGACCUCAUGAAGUCGGAGUCGCUAGUAAUCGCAGAUCAGCAACGCUGCGGUGAAUACGUUCCCGGG
Molecule: ribosomal RNA, 1343 nt
Filed under: uncultured bacterium
Lineage: Bacteria
Description: 16S ribosomal RNA
Rfam family: Bacterial small subunit ribosomal RNA
Source: RNAcentral